This 150-nucleotide transfer RNA is filed under the name Plasmodium falciparum RAJ116. Its description in RNAcentral is "tRNA-Ile". Lineage: Eukaryota; Apicomplexa; Aconoidasida; Haemosporida; Plasmodiidae. The record is from RNAcentral. RNAcentral also lists the same sequence under 1 other name.
UUAUAUUUAAUUUAGUUUGGAUAAAAUAUAUAAAUAAUAAUAAUAUAUUUUAUAUAUUAACUUCUAUUAAUAGAAUAAUUAUAAAUUUAUAUAUGUAUAUAUAUUAAUAAUAAAUAUGUAUUUUUAUUUUUUUAAUAAAUAUAAUUUAAA